This 645-nucleotide long non-coding RNA is filed under the name Callithrix jacchus (white-tufted-ear marmoset). RNAcentral's name for it is "lncRNA (ENSCJAG00000058714.2)". Lineage: Eukaryota; Metazoa; Chordata; Mammalia; Primates; Cebidae. The record is from RNAcentral.
AAAUUAGCACUUGGAAGGUGUAAAAGAAUUUGAAUAUAUAAUAGAAUAAACACAUAUAUGACACUCUGCUCCAGGUCUUAUUUUUAAAUUUUUAUACAUAUUGUUUAAUUUUCAGGUCAAUUUUAUGAAAAGGCAAUAUUAUUAUCUCCACUUAACAGAUGUAGUCACAGAGACUCAAAGUGAGUAACCACAAAGAAUAGUAAGUGGCAGCUCUGGGAUUUGAAUACAGGCUGUCUGGUUCCAGAGUGAAGUUCUUAAGUACUACAUCAGGUUGCCUCAACAGGCUGAAUGUCAGCCAAGAGUAAUGAGAUAGUAUAAGCAAACAUACAGGAUAGGAAGCUCCCUGCCUUAUUUGGAAGACAGCAAAGAGAUCACUCUCUAAUUAAUGAUUUGAGUUGGGACUUGUGGGAGAUACUGGCAAGGGUUCAGAGCUAAUAAAAUUGACCAUCCUACACUGAGUAACUCUGAUGUGUAUGAUUACAAUUUAAUGGGAUUUGAAAAGAAUAACGAGAUGAGAACCAGAAAUGAUGAGUACCAUUACAUCAAUAGAAGAUGCUGAAUUUUUUUUACCAGCUGAUCAAUAAAUGCAUUAAAUGAAUACAAUCAGUAAUUUUAUUUACCCCAUUUUUAUAAGAAAAAAAUUAC